RNAcentral lists this long non-coding RNA (5213 nucleotides) under Cricetulus griseus (Chinese hamster). RNAcentral's name for it is "lncRNA (ENSCGRG00015040850.1)". Lineage: Eukaryota; Metazoa; Chordata; Mammalia; Rodentia; Cricetidae. The record is from RNAcentral.
GCACAGUGAUGUGUUUUUAUAAUCCUACUGCCAGGAAGGCAGAGACAGAUGGGCAGGUCCCUGGGGCUCACUGGGCAGCUAGCUUAGCCUACUUAGUCAUGUUCCAAGCCAAUGACAGACCUCGUCUCAAAAAAAAAAAUGUGAAUGCUAAUAUACAUUUAUAUGGCUAAACUGCCGUGUGCUGUUUGAACUCACUGAGGAAGGUAAGCAGCUGCCCUGUACUGUUUGAGCUCCCUGAGAAGCUGCCUCUGGAAGCAGGGUUGCCCCAUCCCCAUUUCAGACCCAAGAAUGUUUGUCUCAAGGUGUCCUCCAAGGCCCCUUGCCUGGGGAUGGACUGGCCCCCUAACUCUGUGACGGGGAUGGAAGAGAACAGCAAAGCAACCCAAGAGGGAAAUCGCUGUGCCCUGGAAAUUGGCUAGAAUGGAAACCAUUCCACAGAGGUUGCUAUUGUUUACCUCACAGUGUAAAAGUGCCUGAAGAAGAGGGGAAGAGAAGCAGGAAGUUCAUCCAUGGGGAAAACUGCACCAGGAACUCCAGCUGGCUGCCUCAAUUUCCCCAGUUGGUUUCUGCUAGAUGUUACGCACUCAUGACUGAUGCUGUCAACUCUCUGUGCUGCUGUUUAUUCUUGUACUUGGACGCAUCACCCAAGGGGAUACCGAUCUGCCCAGAACUCCCUCUGUUAGAAACUCCAGAUGGCUGGCUUAAAGAGACUCCCCUAGUCAGUUUCUGCUGGGUGUUUUUAGUACCCAAUCUAAUGAUGCUUUUCUGUCUGUCUCCCUAUCUAUCUACCCAUAUACUUGAUAUUUAUUCCUUUACUUUGGCUUGCUGUAUAUUUCAUAAACUCACUUACACAAAACCAAAAAUAAAGCUAUCAUAGAAUUUUCUCCAGGUUUUGCAUAACAUGGUGCAUGAAUAAUAAUACCCAGCAUUGUCCUCUAGCCUACACACACACACACACACACACACACACACACACACACACACAGAGAGAGAGAGAGAGAGAGAGAGAGAGAGGAGUUUCUUAUUAUAAGAAAAACAAAUAAAGUAAAAUAUUAAUUUUAUGAAGUAAAUCUUGUGAUUAUGUGUGUGUGUGUGUGUGUGUUUGUGUGUGUGUGUGUGUGUGUGUGUGUGUGUGUGUGUGUGUGUGUUAUGCAUGCACAAGCACACGUCUAAGUUUCUCUCUUGACCUCUUUGGACUUUUUAACCUUCACUUAUUACCAUCUCCAUCACCGUCAUCUCUGCACACUGUCCUCCUGCCUCCUCUCAUCCCCUCCAUUGUCCCUGUCUACCCCCUGUCUCUUCCUAAACUGGACAUCACACAAGACAGGGCUUUUCAUUCCUUUAUUUGUUAAAUCAUUUUCUGUUCUCUGCUCUCCAUUUUAAGAGCAAAACAAGUGGAACACUUUGUUUCUGCAUCACGAAAUCAAAUUAAGAUGCUUUUGUGCUUUUCCUUCUGUGGCCUCUGAGGUGUCCCCCUGGAUUUCUGCCUGGGAAGCCCUGUGUCCCUCCUCAUCCAGUGGGAAUACUUUAAAAUAUGUAGGUUGCCUCAAAUAGGAACAAUAGGCUUAGCUAGUUGGAGCUCAAACUUGGCAUUUAAAGAUCAAUCCAAGCUGGUCUUUUCUACUUAUUAGGAAGGGGGGGUAGAUUUUUGGACUCCAAUAGGAGGCCUAGUUCCUCUAGAUCCUUCUAUCCAGCUAGAGUUUUAUAAAAACCUUCUAAACAUGUCUAUGACUCUAUGCCAAGCUUCUAACAGGGUGAGGUACUGUCAAGACACAUGCAGAGGCAGGUGGUAGCCAUGCCUGUCCAACCCACAGAAAAACCUGCCCAGCUGUUGUUUCAAGAAUACGGUAUCUAUAGGAUGGGGAGACACUUAGAUAAGCCAUGAUCUCUCUCUCUCUCUCUCUCUCUCUCUCUCUCUCUCUCUCUCUCUCUCUCUCUCUCCAUCCCUCUGUUUUCUUGACACCAGAAAUCCAGCUCUGGCUGGCUGAUCUGGAAAUCACUAUGUAGACCAGGCUGGCAUCAAGCUUACAGUGAUUCUCCUGCCACUGCCUCCUGAGUGCUGGGAUUCAGGCGUGUUCUGCCGCAUUGGCUUCAAAUAAUGAUCUUCCAGUGUGACAGCAGUGGUGGGAAACAUGCAGGUGGCAUGAGAGCCACUCAUAGGAGGCAGAGCCCCUCUGUCCUAGACCACUGAAGAGGAGGGGGAGGCAGCUGGACCCCGGCAGAUGCAAACAGCUGGAGGCAGGGAGGGCAUGCACAAGGGCAUUGAGGUGUGUAAGAGCAUUCCUUUGUGAUCCCCAGGGGUGUCAUGGGGGUGAGGUGUGUAAGAACAUUCCUUUGUGAUCCCCAGGGGUGUCAUGGGGGUGAGGUGUGUAAGAGCAUUCCUUUGUGAUCCCAGGGUGUCAUGGGGGUGAGGUGUGUAAGAGCAUUCCUUUGUGAUUCCCAGGGAUGUCAUGGGUGGGGAGGGGUUGUCCAACCCUGCCAUAGAGCUUCCCAGGCCUCUGUGACACCUGUCACAAGCAGUGUCUGGUCCAGCAUCAUCCAUGUUGUUCUGUGAACGAUGACUCUGUCCUCCUCCACUCCCCAAAUAAGGAGCUUUGAGAUGUGCUAGCUAUACUGGCAACCACCAGUCCCAGACUUGGAUCUGAUGCCCAAUCUGCUCUCCUCUUAGGAGAGAGAAUCCUAAAUGUUCCUGCAGGCUGAGAGCCAGGCAGCCAUGUCUCUUGCUGUGUGCUGGCUGUCCCAAUCUUCAGGGCCUCUCUCCAGGCGGCUCUCCUCUGUGGUGGAGAGAAUCAGAGUGCUUGCAGUUUGCUCAGUGGAGGCUUCACCAUGGAGACUGGGUGCUGUCCCCAGGGCUCUGCAGCUUUCCAGCUAGAAAACUCUGAUGGAAAGAGUGGUCAUUUCCACUGUCCACUGAGGGCCAAAGUAGUCUGACCCUCAGAGUCUGAUCCCAUGUAUUUGCUUUGCAGAAUAAAAGGAGACAGACAGUCAGCUCACUGCCUGCUGCCAAGACAACUGCCACAAAAUCCCUGGAUGUCAGCAGAAUAAAGGGUGGGUUGACAAAACCCUGCCCAGAAGUCUUCCUCCGAAGAACCCACCAUCCCAUCUUUCUCACACCCCUCCUUCAGUAGUUAGCCUGAUUAGCUCCCUCCCACCCCAUUAUACCUGCUCCUCAUUGAAUAGCAGCUCACUACUUGGAAAGCAGUGGUACCCGGCACAACACCACGCCUGCUGCAUAACUCAUCCCAUGGAGUUCAAGGAAGGUGUCAUCCCCAGUUCAGAUGGGAAAGGAAGAACUCUUUAGACUGGACCAGAAAGCUCUGCCUUUGAGUUCUGAGCUCCACAAAGGACGCUGGGUCCUUUGUCCCUUAAAAAGGAAACAUGUGUCAGGCAGUGGUGGUACACACCACCAGCACUUGGGAGGCAGAGGCAGGAGGAUCUCUGUGAGUUCAAGGCCAGCCUGGUCUACAGACCUAGUUCCAGGGCAGCUAGGGUGGUUACACAGAGAAACUGUUUCAAAAAACAAAACAAAACAAAAAGGAAGCAUGUAUCUAUUCAUCUGUCUGUCUGUCUGUCUGUCUGUCUGUCUGUCUGUCUAGCAUAAGUGUGCAUACUCGCUGACCACAGUGUGCACAUGGAGGAGUCUUCUCCUUCUGCCAUGUGGGUCCCAGGGAUUGAACUCACAACCUCAGCUCUCUGAACAAACCUCUUACCUCCAUGAGCUGGCUCACCUGCCCAGGCCUUUUUGCUUUUUAGCAUUGGUUCACCUCCUUCCCAGACUCCCUAGCUUUAGCAUGGUUGGGAAAGGAAGUUGAAAUAAGGUUUCCCACUGUAGACUCCCAGGUAGCUAAUUAGCUCGAUCCCUGGGGAUCGAGGGGGCUGCAGACACACUGCCUGCUAUAAUUCCCACCAGCGGGUUAAGUGGCUCGGUUUUGGAGGUGGGCAGCCUGUCAAUAUAGGGUCUAGCAAAUGGGGCAGGGGAGUCAGGCAGGACCUUCAGCUCCAUCCCUUGGAGAGGACCGAAAAGGAGAUAUAAGAGAAUCUUUGUUCCAAGUAACCGGCCCUAGGAGAAACCAAUUGUGACAACUGGAGAUCUUUCAGGAGGGACACAUACCCAGGACACGUGGUACAGGGAAUCCAGGCUAGUGUUACUUACAGUCUCCAAAACCUCUUGAACAAGAGCAGCCCCAGGUUUACCUUUGCAGCAUUUGCCAGGCCACAGCACCACCUACAGGGAAACCCCAGAAUCAACUCCGGACUUAUUAGGGCCAGUCCCAAGAGUCUAUCAUGAUUGUGGACAGCAAACAUAGAGGAAAAAGCUCAUCUCCCAGGCCCAACCCGUUCCAGCAACCCUGUCUGUGAUUUGGGCAGGUAUUACUAUACCCAUGUGAAACAUAGAGAAACCGGACUCCUGAAAGCUAGAACCAGCCAGCCAGCCAGCCGGUGGCAGGGCCAGUCAGGAUUGCAACCGGGGUGUUUGCUAAACGUUCUUGGGCUCUACUGUCUCUCCCCACACAGAAAACAAGGAAGGGGGGCAUGUGGUAGGUGGAAAAUGGAACAAAGAUCUGAAGGUUGGAGGGUCCUGAGAGCCAGAAUUUGUGUUGGCUGCCUAACAGGACAAGCCCCCACCCACUCCAGUGGGGAAGUAGAAUGGUUCCCCAGGCAGAACAGCCAAUUACAAUACAACACAUGGAAAAUUGAGCUACUUAAGAUUGUCGAGGUGGAGCGCAUGGAUUUUUUUUUCUAAACGUUUCAAAAGCUGGCAAGAUAAUUGAGGACAUUAUAUUUUCCCUUCCAGAGCUUGUCUCAGUAACAAGCCCUUGUCAGCCAGAACUCAGAGGCCAAGGCUGUCUUCCCUAAUGGGAAGGAGAUGCAUAAGCUGUCUAAAUUCCCCAAUUUUCCUGAAAUAUAAAACCUAUAAUCUCCUGAGCUCUGUUGGUACUUGGCCAUGCAGACUCCCGAGUUCAUAUUUAAGUACUGUCAGAAAAAAAAAAAAAAAAAAAAAAAAAGCUGGCAGCCCAAUAGGGUCAACAUUGGUGGUUAGUGUUCAAUUAGUCACAUGAGAAGUGUCCACCAGAGGUGGUUCACAGUGAGUGUAUCUCUGGAACACCUCUACAAGUGUUCUAGUUUGCUUUUCUGUUGCUAUGACAAACACCACAAACAAAAUCAACUUAAGGGAAGAAAGGAUUUAUUUUAGCAUAAUUCUUCCAGGCCCC